This 1089-nucleotide unclassified non-coding RNA is filed under the name Hevea brasiliensis (rubber tree). The record is from RNAcentral. Lineage: Eukaryota; Viridiplantae; Streptophyta; Magnoliopsida; Malpighiales; Euphorbiaceae.
AGAUCUAGGGUUUCCGAUCUCUGCGUUGGGUCGAUUAUUCCUUGUAGAUCUUAGCUUUAGUCCUCUUCGAUUUGGCGAUCAGUGAUUAGGUUUUCGUAAAAAAAUUACCAAUGAUUUUAGAUUUUCUAUGAAUUACGCAAUGUUCAUGCGUCGAGUUCGCAUUCUCCACUCCUUUUCGGUUGUGUUUCUCUACUGGUUUUACGUGUUUUCAGAAUUAAUUUCUUUGUGUUAAACCUGUUGUAAAUUUUGAUCCCUAUUUCCCCUUUUAACUAACUAUCAAAAAGCCCUAAUUCUAACUCAAUUUGAUAGAUAAUAUCCAACAUCUAGUAGAUUAAUUUUUCUGUUUGAAAUUUCGGGAGACAAAAAAAGUUCUGCAAUGCAAAGGCAGGCAGCGAACUCUGGAUCUGAUUCUGAUCCACGUUAUGCCAGUAUCGAUGAAAGGAAAAGAAAGAGGAUGAUAUCAAACAGGGAAUCAGCCAGACGUUCCAGGAUGAGGAAGCAGAAACAGAUGGGGGAUCUGGUUAAUGAAGCGAGUCUUUUGCAAAAUGAGAAUGAUCGAUUGAGGCAGAACAUCAACGACAACACUCAACGGUAUGUGGAAAUAGAAUCCGCCAACAGCGUUUUGAGGGCUCAGGCUAUGGAACUGACCGAGAGGCUUCUGUCCUGGAACUCGGUGCUCCAGAUCGCGGAGGAGGUUAGCGGCCUCGCAGUGGAGAUCCCAGAGAUACCUGACCCCCUGCUGAAACCAUGGCAACUCCCUUUCCCCGUACAGCCGAUCAUGGCAUCUGCAGAUAUGUUUCAGUAUUGAUAUUGCAUCUGUUUAGUGAGUUACUGGUAGCUGAGACUUAUUACCUAUCUGGGUGUUCCUUUUUUGUUAUGGGUUGGUUUGGUGUGCUGUGGUUUGGUGUGUGAGGCGAAUGUUAGUCUUUUGUGUCUUUGGGAAUGCAGUUGUAAUGUGAUUUGCUUGCUUGUUAACUUCUAUUUCUAUCAAUGUUUGUAGUGGUUUAUGAUGCACUGGUUGUUGCCAAUAGCUUAGAUUUCCGUAACGAGUUUCUUUUUGAAAAAAAAAACUCGUUACGGAAAUCUAAG